UCCUAGAUUGGUUCACGCUCUUAUGUGUGUCCAAGAUUGGCUCCAGAAUGAAUCAACAACUUCGGUUAAAAUUGAAGAAGAUUUGGAUAAUCUUGAACAACUUGAAGUUGAAUGAAGGGGAGUACAUUAAGAAGACAAGAAUUGAGUGGGAUGGCUAUGGAAAUAGGAACUUAAAACUCUUUUGUGUAAUCUUUUAAUGAAUUCUUGUUGAUGAUAUCAGUUUAUUAGAUAUCUAUUUGGGAUUUUAGUUUAUUUUAUUUUGCCAUGAAAAUUGUGUUUUAUCUAUGCAAUGAAAGACAUUUGUUGCCUUUUAA
Long non-coding RNA from Nicotiana attenuata, 314 nucleotides. RefSeq lists it as uncharacterized. The transcript is spliced from 2 exons. Lineage: Eukaryota; Viridiplantae; Streptophyta; Magnoliopsida; Solanales; Solanaceae. The record is from RefSeq and is a predicted model, not a curated record.